Molecule: ribosomal RNA, 465 nt
Filed under: uncultured bacterium
Lineage: Bacteria
Description: partial 16S ribosomal RNA
Rfam family: Bacterial small subunit ribosomal RNA
Source: RNAcentral
GACGAACGCUGGCGGCGUGCUUAACACAUGCAAGUCGUACGGUAAGGCCCUUUCGGGGGUACACGAGUGGCGAACGGGUGGGUAACACGUGAGUAACCUGCCCACAACUUUGGGAUAACGCUAGGAAACUGGUGCUAAUACUGGAUAUGUGCUCCUGCUGCAUGGUGGGGGUUGGAAAGCUCCGGCGGUUGUGGAUGGACUCGCGGCCUAUCAGCUUGUUGGUGGGGUAGUGGCCUACCAAGGCGGCGACGGGUAGCCGGCCUGAGAGGGUGACCGGCCACAUUGGGACUGAGAUACGGCCCAGACUCCGACGGGAGGCAGCAGUGGGGAAUAUUGCACAAUGGGCGCAAGCCUGAUGCAGCAACGCCGCGUGCGGGAUGACGGCCUUCGGGUUGUAAACCGAUUUCAGCAGGGACGAAGCUUUUUGUGACGGUACCUGCAGAAGAAGCACCGGCUAACUACGUG